RNAcentral lists this ribosomal RNA (405 nucleotides) under uncultured bacterium. RNAcentral's name for it is "partial 16S ribosomal RNA". It matches the Rfam family "Bacterial small subunit ribosomal RNA", at positions 28 to 526 of the family's 1533-position model. The record is from RNAcentral.
GAUGAACGCUGGCGGCGUGCCUAAUACAUGCAAGUCGAGCGAAGCGGGGACGGGUGAGUAACACGUGGGGAACCUCCUAUAAGACUGGGUUAACUUCGGGAAACCGGGCCUAUACCGGAUAGUUAUAGAUUGAUCCUCGCUGCAUUAGCUAGUAGGUAAGGUAACGGCUUACCAAGGCAACGAUGCAUAGCCGGCCUGAGAGGGUGAUCGGCCACACUGGGACUGAGACACGGCCCAGACUCCUACGGGAGGCAGCAGUAGGGAAUCUUCCGCAAUGGGCGAAAGCCUGACGGAGCAAUGCCGCGUGAGUGAAGAAGGCCUUCGGAUCGUAAAACUCUGUUAUUAGGGAAGCGGUACCUAAUCAGAAAGCCACGGCUAACUACGUGCCAGCAGCCGCGGUAAUUC